AUGCUACGAACGUCGGCGACGCGGGGCUGUGACCAACGGCGCGCGGUGGUGCGUGAUUGGCGGGGGCGAUGCUGCAACCGUAGGCGUGACUUGCUACUACCGUCGAAAGAAAAAGCUUCAACCGGCUACAGAGAAAGCUUCAACCCGACCCCUGUGCACUGGCAAAGCUGCAACCGUCGAAAUAAAAAGCCUCAACCACUACAUAGAAAGCUUCAUCCCAGCCACCGCGCCACCGGCAAAAAGCUUCAACCAGGGGCACCGUGCAACACGCAAAGUUGCAACCGUCGAAAGAAAAAGCUUCAACCGGCUACACAGAAAGCUUCAACCAGGGCCCAGUGCAAACCGACUAAGGUGCAACCGUCCAAAGAAAAAGCUUCAACUACUACAGAGAAAGCUUCAACCAUGACGGCGAUCCGAUGA
RNAcentral lists this ribosomal RNA (420 nucleotides) under Triticum aestivum (bread wheat). Its description in RNAcentral is "partial small subunit ribosomal RNA". Lineage: Eukaryota; Viridiplantae; Streptophyta; Magnoliopsida; Poales; Poaceae. The record is from RNAcentral.